AUUGAACGCUGGCGGCAUGCCUUACACAUGCAAGUCGAACGGCAGCACGGGAGCAAUCCUGGUGGCGAGUGGCGAACGGGUGAGUAAAGUAUCGGAACGUGCCCAGGCGUGGGGGAUAACGUAGCGAAAGUUACGCUAAUACCGCAUACGAUCUAUGGAUGAAAGCGGGGGAUCGCAAGACCUUGCGCGAUUGGAGCGGCCGAUAUCAGAUGAGGUAGUUGGUGGGGUAAAGGCUCACCAAGCCGACAAUCUGUAGCGGGGCGGAGAGGACGACCAGCCACACUGAGAUUGAUACACGGCACAGACUACUACUGGAGGCAGCAGUGGGGAAUUUUGGACAAUGGGCGAAAGCCUGAUCCAGCCAUGCCGCGUGCAGGAUGAAGGCCUUCGGGUUGUAAACUGCUUUUGUACGGAACGAAAAGGUUUGGCCUAAUAAGCUGAGCUCAUGACGGUACCGUAAGAAUAAGCACCGGCUAACUACGUGCCAGCAGCCGCAGUAA
RNAcentral lists this ribosomal RNA (500 nucleotides) under uncultured bacterium. RNAcentral's name for it is "partial 16S ribosomal RNA". It matches the Rfam family "Bacterial small subunit ribosomal RNA", at positions 30 to 523 of the family's 1533-position model. The record is from RNAcentral.